Molecule: RNA transcript, 6889 nt
Organism: Anolis carolinensis (green anole)
Lineage: Eukaryota; Metazoa; Chordata; Lepidosauria; Squamata; Anolidae
Gene: syt10
Gene name: synaptotagmin 10
Exons: 7
Source: RefSeq, a predicted model, not a curated record
CCAAUCUGGCCCUUUCAAGAGCAAAAGCCUAAAGGGCAGAGCAUCUAGCUAAGUAGUAAAAAUGUAUGACUGCUUAUGAUCAGAUCCAUAGCCUGCUGCAAGAGAAUAUAACAUAUAUAGACAGUAGAGCAAUCAUGAUUUGCUUUUUGUUUUUUUUACUACAACUCCAAGAAUUCCUAAAGCCAGCAUGGCCACACUAGUUUGGAGGAUUCUGGGAACGACAGUCCAAAUAUUAGCUAUUCCUGUUUCUGGAUAAAGAUAUGUAUUAGAUUAUCCAACAAUUUAUUGAAAUGGUUUGCCUGUUAGUUUACUAUGCUGCAUGUGCAUUUGAAUAUGAUACAUUCAAGUAGGGUAACACUUUAAAGCAUAUAUAUUUCAACCAUAACUCUGUACCAUACAGCACUGACUCUCUGAUGAAGUUUUUUUUUACAAGGAAGGAAAAUUAGGUGUAAACUGAGCUUUAGUGCAUACAAAUCAAAUGUGUUGUAGAAGGCAAAUCUUAGCAUUGCAUACAAGAAUGAAUAAUUUCAGAAGUUUUCUUCCCAUUGGACCAAGGGAUUUUCUGCAUUUUUCAAUGAUCAUUUACAUUUUGAGACUUUUUGUGGCAAACUUGUUUCCAUAAUAAAACCUGGAUUAUAGUAUAAAAUGCAUAGCUUGUGAUAAAUUUGACAGCCCCUAAAAGUUGCAAAGUGUGGGGAAACUGUCAGUGUAUCACCAUUUCAUGAAUAGAGCAUCUUGGUGUGUUCAGGACUUUCUUUCUGUUGAAGAUAAGAAAAAAGUUUUCACAUGUGUUUGGUCAUAAAGCAUGUUCAUGCAGAUAUUAAAAACAGAUGAGAAUCAUAUAAUCAUAGAGUUGGAAGAGACCUUGUGGGCCAUCCAGUCCAACCCCCUGCCAAGAAGCAGAAAAAUCGCAUUCAAAGCACCCCCGGCAGAUGGCCAUCCAACAUCUGCUUCAAAGCCUCCAAAGAAGGAGCCUCCACCACACACUGGGGCAGAGAGUUCCACUACUGGACAGCUCUCAUGGCACAAUUCUUUCAGGAGACAUUUGCCAAGACAAAUGCAGGUGUCCAGCAUUGAUUUUAACAUGGGGACAGAUCCGGUUUUACAAAGAGGUGAGACAACUACCAGCAUUGGAAGGAUAAAACCUGAGCUUUACAAACAGAAGUCUGUGGAUUCAGAAGGAAAGAAAGAGGAUGUGAAAACCUGUGGGAAACUUAGCUUUACCCUCAAGUACGAUUAUGAGAAUGAAUUGCUGUUGGUGACCAUUGUCAAAGCUUUGGAUUUACCAGCAAAAGACUUCACUGGUACAUCAGAUCCUUACGUGAAAAUCUACCUUCUUCCAGACAGAAAAAAGAAGUUUCAGACAAGGGUUCAUAGAAAGACUUUAAACCCUGUCUUUGAUGAAACAUUUCAGUUUCCUGUAGCCUAUGAUCAACUUUGCAACAGGAAAUUGCAUUUCAGUGUCUAUGACUUUGACAGGUUUUCGAGACAUGAUAUGAUUGGGGAAGUUAUUCUUGACAACUUUUUUGAAGUGUCCGAUCUCUCUAGAGAGGCCACAGUAUGGAAAGAUAUCCAUUAUGCCACUACAGAAAGUGUUGAUUUGGGGGAGAUCAUGUUUUCCCUUUGUUAUUUGCCUACAGCAGGGAGAAUGACCCUCACAGUCAUCAAAUGCAGAAAUCUCAAAGCAAUGGACAUCACAGGCUCAUCAGAUCCGUAUGUCAAAGUAUCCCUCAUGUGCGAUGGGCGGCGACUGAAGAAGAGGAAAACAACUAUUAAAAAGAACACUCUUAAUCCAGUAUACAAUGAGGCCAUUGUUUUUGACAUCCCUCCAGAGAAUGUGGACCAAGUCAGUCUCUCCAUUGCUGUUAUGGACUAUGACCGAGUAGGACACAAUGAGGUGAUCGGAGUGUGCAGGACUGGACUUGAUGCAGAUGGACUUGGAAGAGACCACUGGAAUGAAAUGCUGGCAUAUCCCCGGAAGCCAAUAACCCACUGGCAUCACUUAGUAGAGGCACCACUCCUAUACAGCACGUUCAUUCAUCUCAUGGAGCUUCAGGGAAUCCAUCUGUGUAAGCGCCAUUGAAAUGAAAGCGGUUUGCUCAAGAGAAGAUCAUAGCCGAUUAUUGCCACAAAGCCCACAUUUCUGCUCAUGCAAACCAUUCAUUCCAAUGGAUAGAUCUCAUCUGCACAGUAGUGGAUGGGCAGAUUGUUUGCCUCCAUAUGAAUGAAUGAGAAGCUAUUGUGGAAAAGAGGGCUCUGUGGAAGAAAUAUACUAGAGAAAACCAACACAAAUGGGGAACCCUGGAUGCUACUUGAAGUGGCAGGUUGAGCGUAGAAAUUUUGAACUGAAACAAUAUGAAAGGUAUCUGCAACCCUACUGGUGCAAAUCCAGUCCUGGGCCAGAACAGACAAAUCUUUCACUUUGGAUGUUUCCCACAUCUUUACCUUGAUCUUCUUUUUAUCCUGAAUAAGAAGAAAUUUACAUAUUCUUAUGCAAUUCUAAAUAGAAAAUACUUUUCAGAAUCAGAAAUUGCUGUUUGCACGGUUUGGAAACAUGUAUUUCAAAAAUCCCUGUCAGUCGAGUUUAAAACAGGUUUUUCAUGAAGGCAUAGGUUGAAAUAUGUUGGUCUGUUUCUUGGAAGAAACCUUUAUUUUCUUUUUCCUUUUUACACCCAUGGAUUCUAUUUCUCCUUCAUAUAUUUUCCAACCUGGAAAUGUCAGUGAUAGGACAUGGAAUCUUGUAGUUUCAGAGCAAAAGGAAUGUGUUUUAAGUCUGAGACACCCCUUUCCAAAGAGCAUGAAAAGAUGCCUUUUGCCAGGUCAGACUCCUUGUCGAUUUAUAUCAGGCAUGGGCAAAUUUUGGGGCUGUUAGGAAUUGUGGGAGUUGAAGUCCAAAACACCUGGAGCCCCAAAGUUUGCCCAUGCCUGAUUUAUAUUAAUCAUGUCUAUUCUGAUUAGCAACAGUUUCCCAAGGUCUCAGAUAGAAUUCUUUUCCAUCAUCAUCUACCUGAUCUUUCAUGAACUAGACUAGAAUAAAUACAAUAUUUUCUGCAUGCAAAGCAUGUGCCGAUUCACCAAACUGUAUUAAUUCCCCAACUUAAUGGGAGAAAAGUGCCACAUAACCACUUUGGCAUUGUGUGGUGGAGAAGUGACAACUACAGUUCCCUGGCAUUUCUCUGCCACCGUCAAUAUAAUUCUACUUAAUGCAUACACUGACAUUCACACACCUGGAACAAUUUCCUGGAUCAAAUAUGUGCCUAUCGUCUGCAGUGCAUGUCGUAUUUUAUUCAUCAUAACGGAUGUGAAACAGGGAUACCAUCCAGCAAGAAAUGCUUGCCUCGCUUGCUUAGAAUGGUAACAAAAUGAUGAUAUAGCUGCAGCAUUGCCAGAUUUCGAAUUAAGGUGUGAUGUGUUACUAAGUCUGUUUGGAUUUUCCCUGUACUGUAUGGGUAUUGCAAUCUCUUGUUUGCGUUAUCGGUUGUCAGAGUGCCUGUCUUUAUUGUACUUUACUGCUCCCUUGCACAUGAAACAGCUAUAUAUUUAUAUGGGAAAUGAAGAAACAAAGUUUACUUUUGAUAGAGAUAAGAGGAUUGAAAUUAUUUCUCAGCUGAAAGAUAAAUAAAAUAUAUAGAUAUAAAUAUAUCAAUUUCAUACAAAUUAUACUAUUUUCUUCUAAAUUGUUAGCCAUGCUUUGUCCACUUCAGAUGUUCAUGCAAGUAGAAACAGCUAUGGUCACGCCAUGUAGCACAGUGACCCUAGUUGUAUGAGAAGGCUUCUCAUUGUCAUCUAUGGAAGUUAUUAAAUUGUUUGCACAAAAGGGCUUUGCUUACUCAAUAAGAUUAUACUUUCAUUGUUGACAAUGGCAGCCUCUUGGAAACAUAAAAUAUCAUAUCCAUGGUCACACUGCAUAAACAUAAUCCCUAAGUGCUUUAAUGCCCAACAUAGAGCUCAGUGCCCAUUCUGGCUAAAAUGUUCUGGGAGUGGUAGCCCCCCAAAAUAAACAAUUUCCAGUUCUGGUCCAAAAUAUUUUCCAACACAAUUUUUACUGUUGGUAGACUUUGUCUGGAAUAAAGAGAGACAUACAAUUUCACAUUCUCUUCACUUCUUGAUCUUGAAAUCCCUAUAAUAUAUCCUGGAAGAAUUAGCUCUUCCAAGUCAGUGCUUGCAAAUAGCUAUCUAUUUGACAUUAUUAUUUUUAUUAUCUAUAUAUCCCACUUUCUCUUUCCAUAAGGAGACUAAAAACGGCUACAAUACAAUUUAAAAUAUACAAAUAUUAAAGCAAUAUUCUACAUAAUUAGUAUUAAAAACAAUUCAGAUUAAAUCCAUAAAAAACAUAUAAAACUACAGCAGUCCCUUGACAUCUUUCUUCACAGAAUGCCCCUUCUGACCCCACAGUUCUUUCCAGGGAUGGAAAAUAGAACUGCCAAAAUUCCUCAGCAAAAAAGGAAGAUAUACAAUGUUUCCCUGUUGUGUUCAGAAUUCUCCAAAGACAGGGUGUUCAACUUCUUUCCAUGGUCUACUGAGCAUGUGUUCCUUCAGAAACACUAUAUAUUUCUUAAAAUGAAGUGUGUGGAUCUUUUUAGCUCACGAGGACCAUAUUCCCUGGGGAAGGGGGGUAAUCUGUCAUGAUCCUCAUACCAUCAGUAAGGGUCAGAACUGAAGACCUCAUUAGGUGGGACCAGAGUAAAAAGUAGACAGAAUUGCUAUUUUUGUCAAUCUCUACCUCCCAACCCUUUUCCUUUGUCUCUUUUGGAUAGAUUUGUAUUUAAUGCUCUAAUUUUUCUUCUUCCGUAUCCAGUAGAUUUCUGGGUGAGUGACCAAGGCCUUUUGCCAGGAGUCUGUUCAGUUGAUUUGCAGAAUGCUUCUCAACUGGGGCCUCACCUACACUGCCAUAUAAAAUCCAGAUUAUCUGCUUUGAACUGGAUUAUAUUAGUCUACACUGCCAUAUAUUCCAGUUCAAAGAAGAUAAUCUGGGUUUUAUAUGGCAGUGUAGAUGGGGCUUAGACUGAGGACCAUUUAUGGCUCUGAGAUCAUAGCUUGCUUUAAAAAAGAACUGCAACUAUCUUGGUAUUCUUUAAAGGCCACACAGUACAAUAUGAUCCCAUUGUCAUGAUGCUGUUUGUCCUUCUGGCCUUUUCCAAUAUGUGGCAGCACUAAGACCCCAUCCACACAGCUGUAUAAAAUCCACAUUGAACUGGAUUAUAUGGCAGUGUGGACUCAGAUAAUCCAUCAGAUAUUGUGAAUUAUCUGCCUUGAUAUUCCGGGUUAUAUGGCUGUGUGGAAGGACCCUGAGAUAAAGCUACCAUGGGCUUUUCUUGGCAUGAUUUCUUUAGAGGGGGCUUUCCUUUACUUGAGAAAUUGUAAUGGGCCUGAGGUCAAGGAAACAUCUAUGUCCACACAAGGAUUCAAACAAUGAGUCUUAGUCCAACACACAAAUCACCACAUCACACUGGCUUCCCAGUGUCAUAAUUCAGUUUCACAAUUCUCCCAACCCCAGAUUUAUUUGAUAAUUUGCCUUUUGUAGUGUAGGAUAGGGACUUGUCAGGAACAGACCUAAAAAUUGUCUUUUACUCAACUACACAGAACUAAGAUGUACUGGCUCUUUACCAUAAUAAUGUACUUUUGCCACCAUUGUGCUCUAUUUUCAAUAUUAUAUUCAGGGAAUCUACUCCAUGGAAAUGAAGUGGACAAAGUCUGCCUUUUGAUAUUAUAUUUUAUUCACCUUUUUUGUUUGACAUACAGAGAUAAGUAACUGUUGGAAAACUUGAAGAUGAAAAAUUGUAAUAAAGCACUUUUUAAAACCUCUUUUUAAAAUUAAGUACAAAGUUUCCACAUCACCAAUUAGAGCCUGAUGAAAUGCAUACUAAAGACUUCAGAAAUUUAUAGUAGAUACAUUAGUAAAAGUCCUUCCGAUGAAUACAACAGACACAUUCCUGUCUAUAGCUGCAAUCCAUAGGUUUGAAUUUUUUGGCUUAAUGAAACUGCGUAAGGAAAAAUGCAAAUAUUUUUAACAUGGGUGCAUAUGCACUGAAACUCUAUCCACCAAACGCUGCUCAAGAAUUAGAAUAGGCCCAUUGAAUCAAUGGGAUUUACAGAAGUGUUUUGGCCACCAAGUUUGGUGUUAACUGUGUGUCAAGUUCAACCAGGCACUCUGCAUCAUAAUGGAGCUUGGGCAAGGCUCAAGGGAAGUAUUAUCAUGACCUUUGGUAUACACAACUGUAUCAGGCUCUAAACAGCCCAAAUUCAACUAAACUGACUAUCUGUGGAAUAAUCUAAAUGACAAGCUGGUCAGGUCAAUGUAGCCUAUAAGAACGUCAAUAUUCUUCAAACCAUCUGCCUAGUUUUUGCUAUUUGAUGUCAGCUGAAUGGGAUCGUGUAGGGUACCCUUUACGCAGUGUUAACUAUGUGACUUUUGCAAGGCAGUUUGUGAUUUGGCAUUUAGCCACUGUUCACGUAGGUAUCUUUGGCUUCUGCAUUUGAUCGGCAGAAUUUUUUAAAAGCACACUCCCUCCCCCGAAACACACCCCCAGCAACACAUGUCCCUGGCUUUUUGUAUGCGCUAAAUAGCCAUUUGUGGAAAACUUGAGAGUAUAUAAUUGUUAUUACUGAGAUCGUAACUGUUUUUUGCACUAGCCUUUGAGAAAUGUACAACAUGUUUCUGUAUUUUUACAAUGUAACAUCUAGAACGUGUGAAAAUCUAUUUGUCAGCUGAGAGAGGGGGAAAUAUCAAAAUAUGUAAUGACAACACCUCAAAAACAUGUUAUGAAGUGUACAGUUUGUGAUAAUUUUAUAUCUUUAAAAAACCAAAAAACAAGAGACAUUUGAUAUGAUUUUAUUCUAUUUGUUUCAUAUGUAUUUUGAACAAGAAAUAAAGUGAUCUAAAAUUAUA